GAAAGGAAACCAACAGGGAUUGCCCCAGUAACGGCGAGUGAAGCGGCAAGAGCUCAAAUUUGAAAGCUGGCUCCUUCGGGGUCCGCAUUGUAAUUUGCAGAGGAUGCUUCGGGAGCGGUCCCCAUCUAAGUGCCCUGGAACGGGACGUCAUAGAGGGUGAGAAUCCCGUAUGGGAUGGGGUGUCCGCGCCCGUGUGAAGCUCCUUCGACGAGUCGAGUUGUUUGGGAAUGCAGCUCUAAAUGGGUGGUAAAUUUCAUCUAAAGCUAAAUAUUGGCCGGAGACCGAUAGCGCACAAGUAGAGUGAUCGAAAGAUGAAAAGCACUUUGAAAAGAGAGUUAAAAAGCACGUGAAAUUGUUGAAAGGGAAGCGCUUGCGACCAGACUCGCUCGCGGGGUUCAGCCGGCAUUCGUGCCGGUGUAUUUCCCCGCGGGCGGGCCAGCGUCGGUUUGGGCGGUCGGUCAAAGGCCCUCGGAAGGUAACGCCCCUAGGGGCGUCUUAUAGCCGAGGGUGCAAUGCGAC
RNAcentral lists this ribosomal RNA (519 nucleotides) under Penicillium sp. RNAcentral's name for it is "partial large subunit ribosomal RNA". It matches the Rfam family "Eukaryotic large subunit ribosomal RNA", at positions 56 to 579 of the family's 3401-position model. The record is from RNAcentral. Lineage: Eukaryota; Fungi; Ascomycota; Eurotiomycetes; Eurotiales; Aspergillaceae.